UUUAUGGGGUGACUGCGUACCUUUUGUAUAAUGGGUCAGCGACUUAUAUUCUGUAGCAAGGUUAACCGAAUAGGGGAGCCGAAGGGAAACCGAGUCUUAACUGGGCGUUAAGUUGCAGGGUAUAGACCCGAAACCCGGUGAUCUAGCCAUGGGCAGGUUGAAGGUUGGGUAACACUAACUGGAGGACCGAACCGACUAAUGUUGAAAAAUUAGCGGAUGACUUGUGGCUGGGGGUGAAAGGCCAAUCAAACCGGGAGAUAGCUGGUUCUCCCCGAAAGCUAUUUAGGUAGCGCCUCGUGAAUUCAUCUCCGGGGGUAGAGCACUGUUUCGGCAAGGGGGUCAUCCCGACUUACCAACCCGAUGCAAACUGCGAAUACCGGAGAAUGUUAUCACGGGAGACACACGGCGGGUGCUAACGUCCGUCGUGAAGAGGGAAACAACCCAGACCGCCAGCUAAGGUCCCAAAGUCAUGGUUAAGUGGGAAACGAUGUGGGAAGGCCCAGACAGCCAGGAUGUUGGCUUAGAAGCAGCCAUCAUUUAAAGAAAGCGUAAUAGCUCACUGGUCGAGUCGGCCUGCGCGGAAGAUGUAACGGGGCUAAACCAUG
RNAcentral lists this ribosomal RNA (605 nucleotides) under Escherichia coli. Its description in RNAcentral is "partial 23S ribosomal RNA". It matches the Rfam family "Bacterial large subunit ribosomal RNA", at positions 585 to 1191 of the family's 2925-position model. Lineage: Bacteria; Pseudomonadati; Pseudomonadota; Gammaproteobacteria; Enterobacterales; Enterobacteriaceae. The record is from RNAcentral.